AGAGUUUGAUCGUGGCUCAGAUUGAACGCUGGCGGCAUGCCUUACACAUGCAAGUCGAGCGGCAGCGCGGGGGCAACCCUGGCGGCGAGCGGCGAACGGGUGAGUAAUACGUCGGAACGUGUCCAGUAGCGGGGGAUAACCUGUCGAAAGAUAGGCUAAUACCGCAUACGACCUACGGGUGAAAGCGGGGGACCGUAAGGCCUCGCACUGUUGGAGCGGCCGAUGUCGGAUUAGCUUGUUGGCGGGGUAACGGCCCACCAAGGCGACGAUCCGUAGCUGGUCUGAGAGGACGACCAGCCACACUGGAACUGAGACACGGUCCAGACUCCUACGGGAGGCAGCAGUGGGGAAUUUUGGACAAUGGGCGCAAGCCUGAUCCAGCCAUGCCGCGUGAGUGAAGAAGGCCUUCGGGUUGUAAAGCUCUUUCGGCGGGGACGAAACGGUCCGUGCCAACACCACGGACUAAUGACGGUACUCGCAGAAGAAGCACCGGCUAACUACGUGCCAGCAGCCGCGGUAAUACGUAGGGUGCGGGCGUUAAUCGGAAUUACUGGGCGUAAAGCGUGCGCAGGCGGCUCCUUAAGUCAGAUGUGAAAUCCCCGGGCUUAACCUGGGAACUGCGUUUGAAACUGAGGGGCUCGAGUGUGGAAGAGGGGGGUGGAAUUCCAGGUGUAGCAGUGAAAUGCGUAGAGAUCUGGAGGAACACCGAUGGCGAAGGCAGCCCCCUGGGCUAACACUGACGCUCAUGCACGAAAGCGUGGGGAGCAAACAGGAUUAGAUACCCUGGUAGUCCACGCCCUAAACGAUGUCAACUGGUUGUCGGGGAAGCAAUUCCUUGGUAACGAAGCUAACGCGUGAAGUUGACCGCCUGAGGAGUACGGCCGCAAGGUUAAAACUCAAAGGAAUUGACGGGGACCCGCACAAGCGGUGGAUUAUGUGGAUCAAUUCGAUGCAACGCGAAAAACCUUUACCUACCCUUGACAUGUACUGACCCUUUCAGAAAUGAGGGGUGCCCGAAAGGGAGCCGUACACAGGUGCUGCAUGGCCUGUCGUCAGCUCGUGUCGUGAGAUGUUGGGUUAAGUCCCGCAACGAGCGCAACCCUUGCCACUAGUUGCUACAUUCAGUUGGGCACUCUAAUGGGACUGCCGGUGACAAACCGGAGGAAGGUGGGAAAAACCUCAAGUUCCCCCAGCCCCUUUUAUGGUAGGGCUUUCACACGUAAUACAAUGGCCGGUACAGAGGGCUGCCAACCCGCGAGGGGGAGCUAAUCCCAGAAAGCCGGUCGUAGUCCGGAUUGUUCUCUGCAACUCGAGAGCAUGAAGUCGGAAUCGCUAGUAAUCGCGGAUCAGCAUGUCGCGGUGAAUACGUUCCCGGGUCUUGUACACACCGCCCGUCACACCAUGGGAGUGGGUUUCACCAGAAGUAGUUAGCCUAACCGCAAGGAGGGCGACUACCACGGUGAGAUUCAUGACUGGGGUGAAGUCGUAACAAGGUACCCGUA
Molecule: ribosomal RNA, 1502 nt
Filed under: uncultured bacterium
Lineage: Bacteria
Description: bacterial SSU rRNA
Rfam family: Bacterial small subunit ribosomal RNA
Source: RNAcentral